UGCCACGGAGCUAGAGGGCAAGUGGGCUCGGCCCAGCGUGCAGGGAACGCGGGCGGCCAGACAACGGGCUGGGCUCCGGGGCCUGCGGCGCGGGCGCUGAGCUGGCAGGGCGGGUCGGGGCGCGGGCUGCAUCCGCAUCUCCUCCAUCGCCUGCAGUAAGGGCGGCCGCGGCGAGCCUUUGAGGGGAACGACUUGUCGGACCCCUAACCAGGGGUAUCUCUGAGCCUGGCGGGAUCCCCGGAGCGUCACAUCACUUUCCGAUCACUUCAAAGUACAGCAGACCGAGGACACGGUUGUUAUCAAGACCAGGCUGUUGCCUUGGAAGAGCCCAGAGCGUGUCAAGGGAGACAGCCACAUCACGCCAGAAAUACAUGACAGCUGGAUUAGCCCUGGGAGAGGGAGGCCCAGAUGUGGGAGCUCAGGGGAGGUGCAGCUCAACGUGGAGUUUGGAGGAGGCUACCUUGACCUCUGAAUGCCAAGUAGGAGCCAGCCAGAUGAAAGGGUAGGAGAAAGUGUUUGUAUAUCCUCAGUGCCCUUUCAUCCUUGC
Molecule: long non-coding RNA, 547 nt
Filed under: Pan troglodytes (chimpanzee)
Lineage: Eukaryota; Metazoa; Chordata; Mammalia; Primates; Hominidae
Description: long non-coding RNA NONPTRT011933
Source: RNAcentral